Molecule: unclassified non-coding RNA, 259 nt
Filed under: Hevea brasiliensis (rubber tree)
Lineage: Eukaryota; Viridiplantae; Streptophyta; Magnoliopsida; Malpighiales; Euphorbiaceae
Source: RNAcentral
UCUUAACUGGUGAGAGUGCUGUCAUCUUUACCUGGUUUGGUAUUGGCUAGACAAGGGGCCAAUGAGAAUGCAAGGAUCGAGUCAAUAAAACUAUGAAAAGGAAAAAGGUAAAAGCCAUGAUGGGAUACUGUUGGAUUGGAAUAAAAAACCAUGUAUGCACAUUCAAGGCAAACCAGUUACAACAUAAUGGAGGCCCAAGGCACUUAUAUCUUGUUAAGAUUGCUAGAUGGGGAGAUGGAGGAUAACGGUUGUUUACGUG